GAUGAACGCUGGCGGCGUGCCUAAUACAUGCAAGUCGAGCGAACAGAUGAGGAGCUUGCUCCUCUGACGUUAGCGGCGGACGGGUGAGUAACACGUGGAUAACCUACCUAUAAGACUGGGAUAACUUCGGGAAACCGGAGCUAAUACCGGAUAAUAUAUUGAACCGCAUGGUUCAAUAGUGAAAGACGGUUUUGCUGUCACUUAUAGAUGGAUCCGCGCCGCAUUAGCUAGUUGGUAAGGUAACGGCUUACCAAGGCAACGAUGCGUAGCCGACCUGAGAGGGUGAUCGGCCACACUGGAACUGAGACACGGUCCAGACUCCUACGGGAGGCAGCAGUAGGGAAUGUUCCGCAAUGGGCGAAAGCCUGACGGAGCAACGCCGCGUGAGUGAUGAAGGUCUUCGGAUCGUAAAACUCUGUUAUUAGGGAAGAACAAAUGUGUAAGUAACUAUGCACGUCUUGACGGUACCUAAUCAGAAAGCCACGGCUAACUACGUG
This 497-nucleotide ribosomal RNA is filed under the name uncultured bacterium. RNAcentral's name for it is "partial 16S ribosomal RNA". It matches the Rfam family "Bacterial small subunit ribosomal RNA", at positions 28 to 507 of the family's 1533-position model. The record is from RNAcentral.